AAAUUGAAAGAAGCUGAUCCAUUCUUGCUGCGUGUAUGUCGUCUUGCAUCUCGUGAUGCACAGUGAUGCGCAUCGCUUUUAAACUGCAGGAAUAACGUACGAACAGCCGUAAGCCAAGCCUGAAGCCAGGACAAGUGAAUUGAGUGAAAGAAGCGGACCCAUUCUUGCUGCGUGUGACUCUUCUGCAUCUCGUGCUGUACGGAGUAUAUGAGUAUCGCUUUUAAACUGCAGGAAUAAUAUACGAACACCUGUAACACCGACUACCGUGCCAAGCCUGAAGGCAGGACGAGUCAACUGCUCACAGUCUGAGAAUAGUCAGAUAUUUUCAUGAAAGUUGAAGGUGAUGAACUAAGCAAAGAAGAAGCAUCAGUACCAGAAACCUCAUUAUUACAAAAUGGAGGAAACCUUUAGUAGCGCAGGGAUGAAAAAGACUCCAAAAAGAAGGCAAAGAAAAGUAAAAUGUUACACCUGUCCUCAGUGUGAAAGGAUUUUCCCAAAGAAACAUAACCUUGAAAGGCACGUCAGAAUUCACACUGGAGAGCGUCCAUUCAGUUGUCUUCAAUGUGGAACGAGUUUCGCCGAGAAAAGAAGUCUUGAGAUGCACAUGAGAAUUCACACUGGAGAACAGCCAUACACAUGUCCCCAGUGUAAAAGGAGUUUUGUACAUAAAAGCACUCUCGUGAAACACAUAAGAACUCACACUGGAGAGCGUCCAUACACAUGUCCUCAGUGUGAAAGGAGUUUCUCGCAAAAAAUCAAUCUCUGCUUCCACAUGAGAACUCACACUGGAGAACGUCCGUACACAUGUCCACAAUGUGAAAGGAGUUUCGGACAUAAAAGCACGUUUGUAAAACACAUAAGAACUCACACUGGAGAGCGCCCAUACAUGUGUCCACAUUGUGAAAAGAGUUUCACUCAGAAAAUACAUCUCGAUGUGCACGUGAGACUACACACUGGAGAACACCCAUACACGUGUCUACAGUGUGAAAAGAGUUUUGUACGUAAAAGAAAUCUCGAGAUUCACAGAAGAACUCACACACACAUCUUAAGUGUGGAAAGAUGUUUGCACAGAAAUAAAUAGUAUAUUUUUGUUUAAAUUAUAAAAAAAUACACUAAUUGUGUGUGAUAUGCUCAACACCAUGGCAACACAUGAGGUGAAAUAAACUGACAGAUCGUGAA
Molecule: long non-coding RNA, 1179 nt
Organism: Triplophysa dalaica
Lineage: Eukaryota; Metazoa; Chordata; Actinopteri; Cypriniformes; Nemacheilidae
Exons: 2
Source: RefSeq, a predicted model, not a curated record